AAAUUCUUAGAGAAUCAGCCUCAAAGUUUUCCCUUCACCAAGGAACAGUCCCUGCCUACAAGAGAGGCAAGAGUGCUUGUUCACUCUGCUGCAGAUAAACGUGCAGAGACUAGAGGCUCUGCCCUAACACAAGGACCUGCAGAUCUCCUUCUACCUACUUACCAGGGCUGGCUUCUGGAGUUUAGGAACAUAAAACAUAUUGAAGAUUUAAAUCAAGAAAAAAGAAGGGUUGGAGUACAUUCCUGCUGCCUGAAUUUCAAUGCCCAGAUCUUACUCCAGAUUUUGAGAGCAACAAUCUUUAACGCCAUUCUACUUGAGCAAGCGGAUCAGACCAGAUGGUCUCCAGAGAUCCCUGCCAACCUCAGCCAUUCUCUGAUUCCAUGUUAAAAUGUGGAAUGUAAAUAAGCCAGCAGAUGCUCAGAAUUCCCCUCCUCUCUUUUCCUGUUGAAAAUCUAUUUUCCUGUUGAAAAUCUAUUGUCCCAGUUCUAUGAUUGCUUAGACCCAUUCCUGUAAAUUAUUUAAGUUAAAAAUUCCAGUAAUGCUGUCUUGCUGCUAGUCAUCCUCACUCAUUUGCAGCUGGAAACAAAAGUGCCUUGCUUAAUGGAAUCUUUAAAUGACUGUGACUUCAGCUGUACGUGUUCACACAAGAUGUUUUUAAUAGAAUGCGUUGGAAGUGACCUUACAGUCCAUGACGCUGCCAGGGAAAACCCUGAAAAUCACUAUCUCAGCCUGCCCAGGGCCCCAUCCAAUCUGGCUUUGAUCAAAUGCCUUCAUGGACAAGACAUCCACAGCUUCCCUGGGCAACCUGCGCCAGCGCCAACAGCUCUACAUCCUUCUAUGUUGCAGGUCCCAGAGCUGAAUGCAGCACUCCAGGUAUGAUCUCACAAGAGUGGAGUAGAGAAUCGACUCCCUUGACAUGCUAGUAAGAUUUAUUUUCAUGCAGCCCAGGAUACAACUGGCUUCCUGGGCUGCAAGUGCUCAUGUUGUUGUCUCAUGUUCAGUUUUUUGUCCUCCAAUACCCUCAAACCCUUCUCCCCAGGGCUGCUCUCCACCAUUUAUUGCCCAGCCUGUAUUCAUAUUUGGGAUUGCCCUGAUGCAGGUGCAGAACCCUGUAUUUGACCUAAUUGAACUGCAUCUGGUUCACAUGGGCUACCUCUCAAGCCUGUCAUUGUCCCAUUGGAUGCUUCCACUGUCCUCCAACAUACUGACUUCACCACUCAGUGUGGUAUUGAUCUCAAACUUGCUGAAACAGCACCCAGUCCCAUGGUACAUGUCACUGAGAAGGACAUUAAAGGAACCAGUCUCAGUACUGACCCUUAAGAAAAGCACCAUCGCUGAUCUCCACCUUGACACUGAGCAGUUCCCAAUGGUUUGAGUGCAGCAGCUCCAUCUACCAUUUCUCUUGGGACCCUUGGUUGCAUCUCAUUAAGUCCCACAGAUUUGCACACAUACAAAUUUCUUAGAUGAUAGUCUUGAAUGUGAUCUCCUACGGCAGACAGUACUUCAUUUUUCCAUUCCAUGCAUUCAGGUGCUGUGAAUUGGGCACAGGUGGUACUAAGGGACCCAGCAUGGCAACGGAGAUGGCAAUAACAAGAAACACAGUUGUUGGGCAACAGUCAGCUUGGUCCCAUUUUCACAGACAUAAUGCUGAAAUGAAAUCACCCUUCCCCCAUGGUGAAGUCUUUAUUUUUUGCCCAUUAUGAUCACAGUACUUUAUUUUAAGGAUGAGACAAUGAACUUGGGGAAAUGUGAGAUAAUCCUUGGGAUGUACUCCAGUCUUUAUUGUUUCUACUAUGUUCUACUCACAGCAAACAACCAUUAAGGUAUUUGAUUCGGUCCCAGACUGUCAUUUUAUGAAGCAAUAAAAUAUGU
Molecule: long non-coding RNA, 1872 nt
Organism: Gallus gallus (chicken)
Lineage: Eukaryota; Metazoa; Chordata; Aves; Galliformes; Phasianidae
Source: Ensembl